RNAcentral lists this long non-coding RNA (1173 nucleotides) under Aotus nancymaae (Ma's night monkey). Its description in RNAcentral is "lncRNA (ENSANAG00000039067.1)". Lineage: Eukaryota; Metazoa; Chordata; Mammalia; Primates; Aotidae. The record is from RNAcentral.
AUGGUGGGAAUUGAAGAGGUGAAGCUGGGAGUACUGUGUGAGGUGGUCAUGGUGGUGGGGAUUAAAGAGGUGAAGCUGGGAGUACUGUGUGAGGUCAUCUCCGUGGUGGGGAUUGAAGAGGUGAAGCUGGGAGUAUUGUGUGUGGUGGUCUUGGUGGCGGGGAAUGUUGAUGUGAAAUUGGGAAUACUUUGUGAGGUGGUCUCAAAGGUGGUUGUCAAAGCGGUAAAGCUGGGUGUAGUGUGUGUAGUGGUCCUGGCUGUGGUGAUUGAAGAGGUGAAGCUGGGAGUACCGUGUGAGGUGGUCUUGGUGGUGGCUAUUGACAUGGUGAAGCUGGAAGUAGUGUGUAAGGUGCUUCCAGUUGUGAAUAUUGAAGAGGUGAAACUGGGAGUAGUGUGGGUGGUUGUCUCAGUGGUGGGGAUUGAAGAGGUGAAGUUGGGAGUGCUGUGUGAGGUGGUCUCUGUAGUGAAGAUUGAAGAGGUGAAGCUAGUACUCUGUGAGGUGGUGUCGGUGAUGGGGAUUGAACAGGUGUAGCUGGGAAUAGUGUGUGAGAUGGUCUCAGUGGUGGGGACUGAAGAAGUGAAGCUGGGAGUAGUUUGUGAGGUGGUGUCAGUGGUGAAGAUUGAACAGGUGAAGCUGGGAAUACUGUGUGAGAUGGUUGCGGUGGUGGGGAUUGAAGAGGUGAAAAUGGGAGUACUAUGUGAGGUGGUCUCUGUGGUGCCAACUGAACAGGUGAAGCUGGGAAUACUGUGUGAGAUGGUCUGGGUCAUGCGGAUUGAAGAGGUGAAACUGGGAGUACUAUGUGAAGUGGUCUCAGGGCUGGGUACUAAAGAGGUAAAGCUGUAAGUACGGUGUGAUGUGGUGUGGGUGGUGGGGAUCAAAGAGGUGAAACUGGCAGUACUGUAGGAUGUGGUCUUGGAGGUGGGGAUUGAAGAAGUGAAGCUGGGAGUACUGUCCGAGGUGGUCUCUGUGGUGGGGAUUGAAGAGAUGAAGCUGGGAGUACUGUGUGAGGUAGACUCGGUGGUUGUUGAAGAGGUAAAGCUGGAUGUAGUGUGUAAAGUGGUCUUGGUUUUGGUGACUGAAGAGGUGAAGCUGGGAGUACUGUGUGAGGUGGUCUCGGUGGUGAAGAUUGAAGAGGUGAAGCUGGGAGUACUGUGUGAGGUGGUCUCAGUGGUG